Long non-coding RNA from Sciurus carolinensis (gray squirrel), 940 nucleotides. RefSeq lists it as uncharacterized. The record is from RefSeq and is a predicted model, not a curated record. The transcript is spliced from 5 exons. Lineage: Eukaryota; Metazoa; Chordata; Mammalia; Rodentia; Sciuridae.
GGGCUUCCUUGAACCUGGACACACUGGGCCUCCUCUGGGACAGGAAGGGCUGGGGAUUAAACCCAGGGCCUCACGCAUGCAAGACUGUGCAAAGUGUCUUCAAUCAAGGCUACCCCUUCACCACAUUUACCAACUAUGUCCUAAAUGGAGUUUGUUCAGUGUGCCAGCGCAUGCCUAUAAUCCCAGCUACUCCAGAGGCUGAGACAGGAGGAUCGCAAGUCCCAGAAUUCAUACGAUUCCUCUAAAUCUUUGAUGGCUCCCCAUUGCAUGCAGAAGAGUUUAAGCUUCUUAAACAGCCAAUCAAAGGUCCUCCAUCAUAACCCCAGCUGGAUCAGACUCCCUGCUUCUCCCUGAGACUACAGCUUCUCAAUUCUGCACCGGUCCCUGCCAUGUCAUGGCUGGAGGGCUCUUCUCCAAGCCCUCACUCUACCACCCUCAAGGCUCAGCUGCACUCCAUUCUCCCAACCCAACUCUUGGGAAGCAGCCCUGACACCAUGGGUACAAGGGUGAGCAAGUUUCCUGGAUACCAAGUCAGGUUAACGUUACAGCCUGCCCUCGCCAGUGGACUGGAUCGCCACGCCUGCUUACCACAGUCCUGCAGGGGACAGGGACAGGCUGGGACUGGUUACCUGUUGCUGAGAGAUGACCUGAGACACAGAAGGCAUGAAGCAAUGUCCCCAAGGGUAUCCUCAGCUCCAGGAGCACUGCAGAAUGCACAUCCAGGGCCCCUCGUUUUGCAUUAGCAGAGCCCAGGUAGAUUUCUAUGAACAGGUGGCUGCUUACAGAAAUGCUGUCGCGAGCAGGAACUCUGUCUAUCCACCAGAGGAUCCAGCCAAAUGUACAUCAUCAGAGCCUGAAAGUCCUCAACGCUUCACAGGCUCAAUCUAGCCUUGCGAUGAAUCCUUAUGGAAGUCGAGGGGAGACGCUUUCCACUUUUGAA